Molecule: ribosomal RNA, 253 nt
Filed under: uncultured bacterium
Lineage: Bacteria
Description: partial 16S ribosomal RNA
Rfam family: Bacterial small subunit ribosomal RNA
Source: RNAcentral
UACGGAGGUGGCAAGCGUUGUCCGGAGUUACUGGGUGUAAAGGGCGAGGAGGCGGGAUGCCACGUCAGAUGUGAAAUACCCCGGCUCAACCCCGGGGGUGGAUUUGAAACGGGAGGGCUUGAGUGGAGGAGAGGGAAGCGGAAUUCCUAGUGUAGCGGUGAAAUGCGUAGAUAUUAGGAGGAACGCCAGUGGCGAAGCCGGCUAUCUGGACUGUGACUGACGCUGCGGCGCGAAAGCGUGGGGAGCAAACCGG